AUGUUCCUAGUGAUUGCAUGAUUAGAAACUAUUCUAGGAAGUGCAUUAAUUUUCGUGUCCUAGUUAUUUACCUCAUCUAAAAGGCGAGUUGCCAAAGUGAACAUUUUCAAGCAUGAAUGAUCCUCUGAGAACUUAGUUAUAGGGAUAGGUAGGCAUUCUUCAGCAUGUUGAAUUCUAAUACUGCUCCUAUAACCAGAGCUUCCGAAAACCACUGAACCAUCUGCCCUGGGAAAACUCCCUCUGGAUUUCACUUGGCAGAGAGCAGGAAUUACCCCUGCAGGGAAGCAUCAACUUAAAUGGUAAAUAACAGUCUUACCUGGUAGGGCCAGGAUUGUACCCUAAAGGCAACCUCAUUAGAACACUGUAUAUUCUCUGAAAACAGAUGUUCUCUAUUUGUAGGGUGUAGUUCUUUUCUCUCUCUAAUUAAGUGAUGUUUCUGCUUCCCCUGUAACUUCCUCCUUCUCUGUCUCAGACUUUCCCAUAGAUUGCAUUUUCCCACUGCAUAGAACUGCUCCCUGCUAAAAACCACUCACUGGGAUGAAACCAAUCCUGUUUAACCCCAAACUGGGCCUCGUGGCCAUACCAGUGAUUUCCAUUAAAUCUUUCUAUACCGAGGUGGAUGGGACAGAUCAACCUUAGGUCACCCUGGAUUUCUAGGUUGAGACCAUGUAUAAAUGAUGUAAUCCUUAUCUCUCAAAGGAGUCUCCACACUGAUGUAAUCACAAAUUCACUCUCAUCUUUGUUACAUCUCCAUUUUACAUUCAAGGAAACUGAGGAAGAAAGUAAAUGACAUGCCUAAUUUUACACAGCUACUGAACUAAGAUUAAAACAGAAUUUCUUCUAACUCCAAUUCCAACACUCUCUCCACUGAGUCACCUGGAAAAAUAUUGACUAUAUAUCCUCUGUAAAAGGAUUUUUAAGCUGAGAAGAUUUAAAUGGAAUGUUACGGCAUCACUGAUGGGAGGAUCAACUCCAAAGAGAUCAAAACUCCUCCAUGAUAUUUAGAAAUAACAAGGCAAAUGGAUCUUUAGAGAUUGCUUGCCAACUAGUUGUCAACAAGGAGAUACCAUACACAUAUUAAUCACUCUGGGAACUCCUUUGGGUAGAAAUCAAGCAACUGAUUAUAUCAUGACUCCAUACUAAUUUUAGGUUUAUUUCGCAAUCUGCCCACUGACAAAAAAGUUUUUUUUUUUUUGAUCACAGACAAUAAAUUUACACAAAAUAUAUUGCUUCCUUGGACCCUAACUUAGAUAGACCUCCUUAUAAAAUUAAUUUCAUUUUUAUCUUCAGUCACAUUGGAAAGGGGCCACCGGUACUAGGAGAAAAGGCAAUAUGUAAGUAUCCUGAAGUAUUGAAACAGUCAGGCGAUUUAUGUUUCUGAAAAAAAAGAAUAUCUCUGUAAUGCUUUUUGUUUGUUUGUUUUUUAAAUUAGAAUCUGGAUUGAAAGGCCCAAUUAAUAUCAUCUUAUGUCUUUUAUUUCUAGUGUCCACAACGAUGAUGCAUCAGCCAAAAGGAAUAAGACUAGAGAAAAAAUACUAAAGAAAACAAACGCAAGAUUUUAAUGUGAUGUAAAGAAUGGAUUUGUAAUUCUGGCCAGCAAUAGGUACAUUCAUUUAAAGAAUUCUUUCAUUUUGCCUUUCUACAACAACAGGUGCCAUAAAGAGUUAAUUGAGGCUGAAGAAUAUUCUAAUAACAUUUGCCAAAUGAACUUUAGGGGAGCUACAGUCUUACUGACAUCUGCUACCCUCCAAUAUGGUACUAGGCUGAAGGUCCUGACGAAGCACUGUGGAAAUUGAAAUCUGUUUAUCUUUGAGGACCAGAGGUCAGAAGGAUUUGAGAACACUUCAGUGAGAAGGAUGACUAGAAGUUGAAUCACAUCACUUUUAUCAAAGCAGGAGAUUGAUCAUCUAUUCCUCAGAGCAAAAAUCAAGACUCUAUAUCAGCGGGCCACAUUCUAACCCUCCAAACCCAUUAUGUUCUACAAACACCCUUCUGGGCUAACCAGGAAACCUUUUACAUCUCCCCAUAUACCUUUGUCAAACCCAUCUCCUUUCUCAUAUUGCUACCUUCAACUAAAUGACUUCAUGGUUCCAUUCAGUCAAGUCGUAUACAUCAAGAUCAAUGAAGAUCUCCUUCAAAGCAAUCCUACUGCAGUAAACCUUUUCUGAUUCAUGUCAUUCCCAUUCUCAUCCUGCACUUUUGUGACACUCAGAUAUUCGGCUUUUGUAUAUUCAUGUACUUGUUUCUAUUCCACUGAGCUUAUUAAAAAGAGCCAAAAGGUCUGGACUUCUACUCUAA
Long non-coding RNA from Antechinus flavipes (yellow-footed antechinus), 2298 nucleotides. RefSeq lists it as uncharacterized. Lineage: Eukaryota; Metazoa; Chordata; Mammalia; Dasyuromorphia; Dasyuridae. The transcript has 2 exons. The record is from RefSeq and is a predicted model, not a curated record.